CGGGGUAUAAAGAGUUCGUGGGCUUUGCACGCUCUCACAGGGGCCGCGGGCGAGGGGCCAAGGAGGAAGCUCUAGCGUAGCUGGAGAGAAGUUGAAAUUACAGACAUCCUGCCAAAAUGAUCUCUUCAAAGCCCAGACUUGUCAUACCUUAUGGCCUCAAGACCCUGCUUGAGGGAGUUAGCAGAGCUAUUCUCAAAACCAAUCCAACAAAUGUCACCCAGUUUGCAGCAGUAUAUUUUAAAGAACUCAUUGUGUUUAGAGAAGGGAAUACGUCUCUGGAUAUAAAAGAUCUGAUUAAACAGUUUCAUCAGAUGAAAGUAGAGAAAUGGUCAGAAGGAGGGACACUGGAGAAGAGAGACUAUCCAAAAGAACCAGGAAGAGCACCUGCAUUCUUCUGUGAACCUACACAGAUGGAGAAAUCCACAGACACAGAGGAGGACGGUGUAGCUGGACCACUAUUUAGCAACAAAACCACCCAGUUUCCAUCAGUUCAUGCUGAAACCCUUCAGUCUAAGGAGACGACUGAAGGAGUUUGGGGUCCUUCUAAACCAACAAUGCCCAAGACUACCACCCCACCCUCAUCACCACCGUCAGCACCAGUCUCUGCAGAGUUUGCCUAUGUCCCGGCUGACCCAGCUCACUUUGCCGCUCAGAUGUUAGGUAAUGUUCCAUCUACUCAUUCUGACGUUUUAAUGGUGGAUGUAGCCACAAGUACACCUGCUGUCAUCAAGGAGGCACUGAGUGCAGAGAUUGCUGAAGAACUCUUGGUGUCUAUUCCUCUGGAGUGUUCUGGAGAGAUGAUAGCAGUGCAGGUUUUGAGCCAAACAUCUGCACAGGUAGUUGUGGGUCCUAAAUCUAAGGCUGAACCAUCAAAGGCUUCCUUAGCCCCCUUGCAGAGUGAACAAGAACCUCCUGUUUAUGAUCAAGCUCCUGAGGCCCCUUUGCAGGCUGAUACUCAGGUUACAACAGCCUUUCGUGUAUCAUCUAUAUAUAAUGAUACGCCCAUCAAUGAAGGAGUUGUCUAUGUUGAACAGAUACCAGAACACACAGUUAUCCCUGUUACUGAUCAAGUUGCUUGUCUUAAAGAAAAUGAGCAGUCACCACCAGUUAGUCCCAAACCUGUAGAACCCAAGACUUCCUCAGGCAUGUCUAAAAUAUCAAUAGAGUCUUUGAAAAUUAUACAGGUGGAGGAUUCCCAACAGCAAUCCUCAGCCCAUAUGGAGGCAGAAGCUACAGUUCUGCUCUCUAACAGUUCUUUAGAUGGUCAGCCCAAGGUAUCUACAGGACUCCUUGAUGCAGAGGGAUUUUUUCACUCUGAAAACUCUCUGCACCUUGAAAUGGAGAUUGUUACUAUAGACCCUGACAGUCCUGGGCAGGAGAAGUCAGGGGAGAACUCUGUACCCCAUUCAUCUGGUGACCCUUUCCCUCCUGCGCCAGGAGGCUUUACUGAACUUGAAAUCCAAGCAGAUGGGGAAGCUGCACCUGAACAGGUUUGAUGAAGUCAGCACUAGCAACAAGCGAAGCAGGACAACCACCACCACAUUCUAAUAUGUGGACACUUUAUUGUCUAAGUGAUAUGAAUCAACAAAGUUGCCCAUCACUGCCACCUGCACUUGGGCCUUUUCCCCAAGAAACCCUCUAUUUAUCUAAUCCUAAGGAUCCACAGUGUCUGCAGAAUCCACUGAAAGUUACUUCUCCAGCUUAUGUGAUGAUGGAUGAGAGCAACAAGACCAGUGCCCCACCUUUUAUUCUAGUAGGCUCAAACGUUCAGGAAACGCAGAAUUGGAAACCUCUUCCUGGACACGUUGUCUCACAGUCAGAUGCCUCGAAGAGAUAUGCUGCAGUACAAGUACCCAUUGCUGUUCCUGCAGAUCAGAAAUUCCAGAAACCUACCCUAAAUCCCCAGAAUACUAGUCCUACAAAUGGACAAGAUGGCCCCAGACCACAAAGCCCAGUUUUUCUUUCUGUUGCUUUCCCAGUAGAAGAUGUAGCUAAAAAAAGUUCAGGAUCUGGUGACAAACAUACUCCCCUUGGAAGUUAUGGUAUUGCUGGAGAGAUUACUGUGACUACUGCCCAUGCUUGCAGAGCAGAACCUUAAAAUAAUGUUGAAGGUGAUGGUAUUUGAGUCAGCAUUGAAAGUGAAGUCUGUCACCAAGCAAACUGGAUCAAUAAACUUCCUGCAAGCAUAAAACUUUGCAUUGGUGAUUAAUCAACUUAGGAAGUUUACCAAACAUUAAUAACACCUUCCAGCUCUUUCAUGUACACUUUCCAGUCAGGUAUUCAUGCACUAAAAACGGCAUCCUGCUGCUCCAUUGUUAUCACCCAUAACUGCCCAGUAGGUAUGCUAGGUAGCAGCUUCUUUCUCAGGCCCUGAGGAUAGCAUAAUUUAGGAUAGUGUUAUGUGGCAACAUUAGUAUAACUGACAGUUCACACUUCUUGGAAUAUUCUAAAGGCUUUAUUUAGUAUCAGGUAGAUUAUUUCAUUAUAAUACUUGUUAACGUCAAGACAAAAUAAUUUACCAGAAGCUACCUACAGCCCCUUGGGCCAAUAUCGGUCUGGGGAUUGGUUGGAUAAAUGCUAUGAGAUUAAUGUACCCCAAUUAAAGGGGCAAAGCUACUGUACAGUAGGUCUCCAUACAUAUUUUAAGUACACAGGUACCUUGCAAAUUCAAAAUGCACAAGACCUCCUUUUAUAUAGUUUGAUACGUAUAAUACAUGACUGCAGCUUAGUAUCUGUGGCACUGGCCACUGGAAUUGAAGCUUAAAGGUUGGUCAUUAAUGAUACUGAUUAAAAUCUAUUUCUAGGGUAUUUUUGUAAGUUGCUAAAUUUUAUACAUAUUUUCAGUUCAAACAUACAAUUUCACCCUUUAAACUAAUGACAAUGAUCACAGAAAAUUGUAAAA
Molecule: RNA transcript, 2902 nt
Organism: Nannospalax galili (Upper Galilee mountains blind mole rat)
Lineage: Eukaryota; Metazoa; Chordata; Mammalia; Rodentia; Spalacidae
Gene: Cabyr
Gene name: calcium binding tyrosine phosphorylation regulated
Exons: 6
Source: RefSeq, a predicted model, not a curated record